This 240-nucleotide ribosomal RNA is filed under the name uncultured bacterium. RNAcentral describes it as "partial 16S ribosomal RNA". It matches the Rfam family "Bacterial small subunit ribosomal RNA", at positions 15 to 237 of the family's 1533-position model. The record is from RNAcentral.
GAUCAUGGCUCAGGACGAACGCUGGCGGCGUGCCUAAUACAUGCAAGUAGAACGCUGAAGAGAGGAGCUUGCUCUUCUUGGAUGAGUUGCGAACGGGUGAGUAACGCGUAGGUAACCUGCCUUGUAGCGGGGGAUAACUAUUGGAAACGAUAGCUAAUACCGCAUAACAAUGGGAUCGACCCAUGUCUAUUUUAUUUAGGAAAGGGGACAAAUGCUCCACUACAAGAUCGGACCUGCGUU